Molecule: ribosomal RNA, 468 nt
Filed under: uncultured bacterium
Lineage: Bacteria
Description: partial 16S ribosomal RNA
Rfam family: Bacterial small subunit ribosomal RNA
Source: RNAcentral
GACGAACGCUGGCGGCGUGCUUAACACAUGCAAGUCGAACGGAAAGGCCCUGCUUUUGUGGGGUGCUCGAGUGGCGAACGGGUGAGUAACACGUGAGUAACCUGCCCUUGACUUUGGGAUAACUUCAGGAAACUGGGGCUAAUACCUGAUAGGAGCUCCUGCUGCAUGGUGGGGGUUGGAAAGUUUCGGCGGUUGGGGAUGGACUCGCGGCUUAUCAGCUUGUUGGUGGGGUAGUGGCUUACCAAGGCUUUGACGGGUAGCCGGCCUGAGAGGGUGACCGGCGACAUUGGGACUGAGAUACGGACCAGACGCCAACGGGAGGCAGCAGUGGGGAGUAUUGCACAAUGGGCGGAAGCGUGAUGCAGAAACGCCGCGUGCGGGAUGACGGCCUUCGGGUUGUAAACCGCUUUCGCCUGUGACGAAGCGUGAGUGACGGUAAUGGGUAAAGAAGCACCGGCUAACUACGUG